This 904-nucleotide ribosomal RNA is filed under the name Antrodia albida. RNAcentral's name for it is "LSU rRNA". It matches the Rfam family "Eukaryotic large subunit ribosomal RNA", at positions 73 to 964 of the family's 3401-position model. Lineage: Eukaryota; Fungi; Basidiomycota; Agaricomycetes; Polyporales; Fomitopsidaceae. The record is from RNAcentral.
UUCCCCUUAGUAACUGCGAAGUGAAGCGGGAAAAGCUCAAAUUUAAAAUCUGGCGGUCUUUGGCCGUUUCGUGUUGUAGUCUGGAGAAGUGCUUUCCGCGCUGGACCGUGUACAAGUCUCUUGGAACAGAGCGUCAUAGAGGGUGAGAAUCCCGUCUUUGACACGGACUACCAGUGCUUUGUGAUGCGCUCUCAAAGAGUCGAGUUGUUUGGGAAUGCAGCUCAAAAUGGGUGGUAAAUUCCAUCUAAAGCUAAAUAUUGGCGAGAGACCGAUAGCGAACAAGUACCGUGAGGGAAAGAUGAAAAGCACUUUGGAAAGAGAGUUAAACAGUACGUGAAAUUGCUGAAAGGGAAACGCUUGAAGUCAGUCGCGUUGGCCAGGACUCAGCCUUGCUUUAGCUUGGUGCAUUUUCUGGUUGACGGGCCAGCAUCGAUUUCGGUCGUCGGAUAAAGGUUGGGGGAAUGUGGCAUCUUCGGAUGUGUUAUAGCCCUCAGUCACAUACGACGGCUGGGAUCGAGGACCGCAGCACGCCUUUAUGGCCGGGGUUCGCCCACGUUCGUGCUUAGGAUGCUGGCAUAAUGGCUUUAAACGACCCGUCUUGAAACACGGACCAAGGAGUCUAACAUGCCUGCGAGUGUUUGGGUGGAAAACCCGAGCGCGUAAUGAAAGUGAAAGUUGAGAUCCCUGUCGUGGGGAGCAUCGACGCCCGGACCUGACCUUCUGUGAUGGAUCUGCGGUAGAGCAUGUAUGUUGGGACCCGAAAGAUGGUGAACUAUGCCUGAAUAGGGUGAAGCCAGAGGAAACUCUGGUGGAGGCUCGUAGCGAUUCUGACGUGCAAAUCGAUCGUCAAAUUUGGGUAUAGGGGCGAAAGACUAAUCGAACCAUCUAGUAGCUGGUUCUGCGA